Molecule: small nucleolar RNA, 74 nt
Organism: Trichechus manatus latirostris (Florida manatee)
Lineage: Eukaryota; Metazoa; Chordata; Mammalia; Sirenia; Trichechidae
Product: small nucleolar RNA SNORD103/SNORD85
Exons: 1
Source: RefSeq, a predicted model, not a curated record
GAUUAUAGGAAUGACACACUUGCCCUCACUGAGAUGAUAGUUUGGUGAUGAGAAUCUUCCUGUUCGUACUUAUC